AUGGCGAUGGUCCUGGAUGCCUUUGCAUCGUACGUGCAAAAUAUGCUCAUCGAGACGGUGAACGAAGAGGUGCACAUGCUGCUUGGAGUCGGAGACGAGAUCGACAGGAUGGAUGUCAAGCUUAGGGACCUCAAGAACUUCCUUGCCGACGCUGACAGGAGAAACAUCACUGACAAGAGUGUCCAGGAGUGGGUGGGGCAGCUCAAGGGCGCCAUGUAUGAAGCUACCGACAUCCUCGACCUUUGCCAGCUCAAGGCCAUGGAGGAAGGUCCAUCCACUGUAGGUGUGGGGUGUUUCAACCCCUUGCUCUUUUGCUUAGAGGCAGGGUGCUUCAACCCCUUGCUCUUCUGCAUGCGGAAUCCAUCCCAUGCCCACGACAUCGCCACCCGCAUCAAGGCGCUCAACAAGAGGCUCGACAUCAUCAAGGAGCGAAGCGCUGCUUUCAGUUUCAUCAAUCUUGGUUCCUAUGAGGAUCGUGGGAGCAAGGUGCACAGCUUUCAUUCUCAGAAUACCAGCCGUGAGACAUCAGGGGAGUUCGACCGGUCAGGUGUAGUCGGAGAGAAGAUCGACCAGGACACAAGAAAGCUUGUCGAGAUCAUGCUCACUGAAAAGGGGGGCAGCACCAACAUCAUGGUGGUCGCCAUUGUUGGCAUCGGCGGGAUCGGCAAGACCACUCUUGCCCAGAAGGUCUUCAAUGACGAAACUGUUAAGGCUGAGUUCGAUGACACAAUAUGGUUGAGCAUUAACCAGGACUUUGACAAGGUUGAGUUACUCAGGACAGUCAUCACGCUCGCCGGGGGAGUACACGGAGGUGAAAAGGCGUUGGCUGUGCUUCAGCCAAUCCUUACUACUGCCUUGACCGGAAAGAAGCUAUUGCUAGUGCUAGAUGAUGUGUGGAGCCAUGGAGCAUGGGGCAAUGUGCUUGAAAUACCCUUGGCUAAUGUUGUGGCUCGAGGUAGCCGAGUCCUUGUCACUACUAGAGAUGAAAGAGUUGCCCGAGGGAUGAAAGCUGUUCUUCCUUACCAUCAUGUCGACAAAUUAGAGGAAGAGGAUGCCUGGUCAUUGCUUAAGAAACAGAUAGUCUCAAGUGAGACAAAUGGACGUGAAAUUGAUAUGCUCAAGGAUAUUGGGUUGCAAAUUAUAACAAAAUGUGAUGGUUUGCCUCUUGCUGUCAAAGUGAUGGGAGGACUCUUGUGCCAAAAGGAGAAAAAGCGCAGUGACUGGAAGAUGGUUCUAGAUGAUUCUAUGUGGUCAGUAUCUGGAAUGCCCGAAGAGUUAAACCAUGCAGUAUAUUUAAGCUAUGAAGAUUUACCUUCUAGCAUGAAACAAUGCUUUCUAUGCUACUCCCUUCUCCCAAAAAUUGCAUUAUUCGAAAGGGACAACAUAAUUGGCUUGUGGAUUAGUGAAGGAUUUCUUCACGGAGCCUCCGACGACUUAGAAGAACUAGGAAAUAAGUACUAUAAGGAGCUGAUACUGAGGAACCUCAUAGAGCCAAAUACAGAGUACGCUAAUCAAUCUGUCUGCACCGUGCAUGAUGUUGUACGCUCAUUUGCUCAAUUUGUGGCUAGAGAUGAGGCACUAGCAGCUCACAGUGGAGAAACUAGUAUUGUUAGUAAACUUCGUGCAAAGAAGUUUCUUCGGUUGUCUCUAGAAAGCAAAUCAUCAGAAUCAGACGGGCUAGAGUGGAGUUCUUUACAAGCACAAAGCACACUGAGAACACUAAUAUCAGUUGGACACAUAAAUUUGAAGCAUGGUGAUUCGUUGGUUAAUUUUCCAUGCAUACGUACUUUACAUAUAGAUUCUGCACAUGUUGUUACACUGGUUGAAUCUUUACAUGAAAUCAAGCACCUGAGGUACUUGUCCUUCCGCUACUGUGAUAUAUCUAGUCUGCCAGAUAGCAUUGGAGAGAUGAAAUUCUUGCAGUACAUUAACCUUGCAGGAUGCCAACAAUUUCUGAAACUUCCAGAUAGCAUUGUAAAAUUAGGGCAGCUAAGGUAUCUUAACUUGGAUAACACCAAUAUAAAUGGCAUACCUAAGGGGUUCCGUGUUCUAACAAAUUUGAGAAUAGUAUCUGGGUUUCCAGCCCAGGAAGAGGAUGAUUGGUGUAGUUUGGAAGAGUUGGCCCCUCUUUCUCGGCUCAAGAUACUUGGACUACAGGGAUUGGAGAAUGUAUCUGCUUCCUCAUCCGCAGCAAAGGCAAAGCUUAGCGAGAAGGUGCAUCUUACUGGCCUAUCCUUGAUCUGUGAUUAUAGAUUGUAUGUGUUGAUUGCGGAGCAAGGUACUAGUGUCUCUGAGGAAGAACAUCAAAAGAUUGAGAAGGUGUUUGAUGAGCUCUGCCCUCCGCCCAACUUAGAUUUUCUUUACAUUAAUGGAUAUUUUGGCCGUCGACUCCCAAGGUGGAUGAUGUCAUCAUCAGUUGUGGCUCUAAAGAGCUUGAGGACUUUGAUGGUUCACGACCUGGCUUGCUGCACAGAGCUUCCUGAUGGCUUGUGUCAGCUUCCUUAUUUGGAGUUCAUUCAGAUCUCUCGUGCACCAAUCAUCAAGCGUAUUGGCCCUGAAUUCAUGCAGCCCUACCACCACCAUGGUCUUCAUCCAACCCAGGUGGCUGUUGCCUUUCCGAGAUUGAGCAAGAUGUUCUUAACGGAAAUGGUGGAAUGGGAGGAAUGGGAAUGGAAGGAGCAAGUGCAAGCCUUUCCUGUCCUGCACGAGCUUGUGCUAAAGCACUGCAAAUUGAAGCGUCUUCCUCUUGGCCUUGCCUCUCAGGCAAGGACUUUGAAUAAAUUAUUCAUACAAUAUGUCUAUGGUUUGAUCUCUGUAGAGAACUUUCCAUCUCUCGUCGAGCUGCAUGUCACUCUAGACUUUGACCUGGAGAGGAUAUCUAAUCUUCCCAGGCUGCAGAAGCUUGCAAUCGGCGGGUGCUCAAAGUUGAAGGUGCUGGAGGGUGUUCCCUCACUCCAAUGGAUCAUGCUCGCGGAUGCAGACAUGGAUACACUCCCAGAAUACAUGGGAAGUAUAUGCCCAAGGUAUUUGGAGCUACUCUGUGGCCUAGGGCUGCUCACUUCUUUAGCCAUGGGACAAUCUGGCCCCGAGUGGGACAAGUUCAGCCAUGUUGGGCAUGUCAAGGCGUAUGCACAUGAAGAAAAUAAUAGGAAUGAAUGGUAUGUCUUGUACACAGCUGACCCCUACAACUUGGAAACAAAUGCCAGCCGUUCUUUCAUGUCUAGAGGAACCUUAUGUUCGUUUGUGGAUGCCCAAAGGUUUGAGUAUGUCUUCAAAAUGACAAGAAAAACCUUUAGUUACAUCUGCAGCUUGGUGAAGUGGGCAUCACUGAAAGAUAUGGACAGCUACACCUUUGUUGACGGGAGGGUGCUGUCUUUAGAAGAUCGGGUAGCCGUUGCUCUGAGAAGACUGCACUCUGCUGAGCUACCAGAGACCUUUGGAUCCUCUGUUGGUGUGAACGAGUCAACCAUCUCGUUGGUAACUGAGAGGUUUGUUGCUGCUGUGUACACCCACGCAAUGCAGAGCUGGCCAGGCUCCAGCGAAAUGGAUAAGAUCAAAUCCAUGUUUGGCAAGAUCUACAAUAUGGAAAACUGUUGCGGUGUUAUAUGUACAACCCACAUCCCAUUUGGACCAAACUGGGAUCAUGAGAAGAAUGUCAGCAUUCUAAUGCAAGUCGUCGUCGAUCCAAAGACGAGGUUUACAAGCAUUUGGGUCGGAUCAGCAGGUAAUGUGAACCGGUUGGCCGUUUUGCAUGACUCUCCAUUCUUUGAGCAGUGCGAGAAGGGGGUUCGCCUGAAUGGCAGCAAGCUGAAGGUAGGAUUAGAUGGAUCAGAAGUCGGGGAAUACAUAAUUGGUGAUGCAGGACAACCUCUUCUCCCCUGGUUGCUCACACCUUACCAAGAAGAAGACCACUCAGACUCCAACUCGGAGUUCAAUAGAAGACACUCCGCAGCCACAUCCUGCAUGCUGAAGGCGCUGGCGAGGUUCAGAAAUACAUGGAAGUACCUGCAGGAAGAGACAUGGCGUCCGGUCAGUCCAGACACUCUGUGUAAGACAAUCUAUGCCUGCUGCUUGUUGCAUAACAUGGUCAUAGAUAUGGGGGAUGAUGGAGUCAUGCGGAACAUUUAUGGGAAUUACCGUGAGGAAGUGCGCCAGAUAGCAAACGAGGACCCCGUCAGGGCGAGGGACAUGCUGUCGGAAUACUUCUUGAGCACUAUGUCAUCCGAAUCAGGAGUGGAUGCAGAGGAGGAUGAUGAAGUAGGCGCAUCAGGCUCAGAGGAUGAAGACAAGGAAGAAAAGGCAGAGACAAUAACAGCAGAUGGAGGCAACAUUAGUCAAUAG
This 4341-nucleotide ribosomal RNA is filed under the name Triticum aestivum (bread wheat). RNAcentral's name for it is "partial small subunit ribosomal RNA". Lineage: Eukaryota; Viridiplantae; Streptophyta; Magnoliopsida; Poales; Poaceae. The record is from RNAcentral.